Molecule: ribosomal RNA, 970 nt
Filed under: human metagenome
Description: bacterial LSU rRNA
Rfam family: Bacterial large subunit ribosomal RNA
Source: RNAcentral
CGAAAUUCCUUGUCGGGUAAGUUCCGACCUGCACGAAUGGCGUAACGACUUCCCUACUGUCUCAACCAUGAGCUCGGCGAAAUUGCACUACGAGUAAAGAUGCUCGUUUCGCGCAGAAGGACGGAAAGACCCCGGGACCUUUACUACAGCUUGGUAUUGGCGCCCGCUAUAGCUUGUGCAGGAUAGGUGGGAGACUGUGAAGCCGUUACGCCAGUGGCGGUGGAGUCGUCCUUGAAAUACCACUCUGGUUAUGGCGUGCGCCUGAACCUGGGCCCGUGAUCCGGGUUAGGGACAGUGCCUGGUGGGUAGUUUAACUGGGGCGGUUGCCUCCUAAAGUGUAACGGAGGCGCUCAAAGGUUCCCUCAGCCUGGUCGGCAACCAGGUGUUGAGUGCAAGUGCACAAGGGAGCUUGACUGUGAGACCGACGGGUCGAGCAGGUACGAAAGUAGGAACUAGUGAUCCGGCGAUCCCGUGUGGGUGGGUCGUCGCUCAACGGAUAAAAGGUACCCCGGGGAUAACAGGCUGAUCCUGCCCAAGAGUCCAUAUCGACGGCAUGGUUUGGCACCUCGAUGUCGGCUCGUCGCAUCCUGGGGCUGGAGUCGGUCCCAAGGGUUGGGCUGUUCGCCCAUUAAAGCGGUACGCGAGCUGGGUUCAGAACGUCGUGAGACAGUUCGGUCCCUAUCCGCUGCGCGCGUUGGAGAAUUGAGAAAGGCUGUCCUUAGUACGAGAGGACCGGGACGGACGAACCUCUGGUAUGUCAGUUGUACCGCCAGGUGCAUGGCUGAUUGGCUACGUUCGGGAGGGAUAACCGCUGAAGGCAUCUAAGCGGGAAGCCUGUUUCGAGAUGAGUUCUCCUGGCACUCUUUGUGGUGUGUGAGGCUCCUUAGAGAUGAUGAGGUUGAUAGGCCGGGUAUGGAAGCGUUGUAAGGCGUGGAGUUGACUGGUACUAAUAGGCCGAAGACUUAUUCAC